Molecule: unclassified non-coding RNA, 334 nt
Filed under: soil metagenome
Description: partial contains 5.8S ribosomal RNA, internal transcribed spacer 2, and large subunit ribosomal RNA
Rfam family: 5.8S ribosomal RNA (bases 1-120)
Source: RNAcentral
GAUGAAGAACGCAGCGAAAUGCGAUAAGUAAUGUGAAUUGCAGAAUUCAGUGAAUCAUCGAAUCUUUGAACGCACAUUGCGCCCGCCAGUAUUCUGGCGGGCAUGCCUGUUCGAGCGUCAUUUCAACCAUCAAGCCCCCGGCUUGUGUUGGGGACCUGCGGCUGCCGCAGGCCCUGAAAACCAGUGGCGGGCUCGCUAGUCACUCCGAGCGUAGUAAUACAUCUCGCUCAGGGCGUGCUGCGGGUUCCGGCCGUUAAAAAGCCUUAUUUACCCAAGGUUGACCUCGGAUCAGGUAGGAAGGCCCGCUGAACUUAAGCAUAUCAAUAAGCGGAGA